CGGAGGAAAAGAAACUAACCAGGAUUCCCUUAGUAGCGGCGAGCGAAGCGGGAAGAGCCCAAUAUGAAAAGCCAGCUUGCUGGCGUUGUAGUUGAGCGUCUUUGGGGUGUCAGUUUGGGAAAGUGGCAUGAGAGUGCUCACCGGGGAGGGUGAAAGUCCCGUCCAUCCCAUYCAGGACACCUCGCACAAAGGCGUUUCAGACGAGUCGGGUAGCUUGGGAAUGCUGCUCUAAUUGGUGGUAAAUCUCAUCAAAGGCUAAAUACUGGUGGGAGACCGAUAGCGAACAAGUACCGUGAGGGAAAGAUGAAAAGUACUUUGAAAAGAGGGUAAAAAGAACCUGAAACCGUUACGGGGGAAGCGGAUUGCGUUGGCCUGGUGGCUGCCUGUGUGUUCAGCCUUUUAUGGUGCAUUGAUACAGGUGGUUAUUCGUCGUGGCUUUUCGGUAGCUGAUAAUGAGUUACUGGAGGGUGAGGGCUCCCCUUUUUUUGGGUGAGGACGACGGAGUGACGACGCGAUACGACCCGUCUUGAAACACGGACCAAGGAGUCUAGCGCAGGUGCGAGUCAAAGGGUUUCAAAACCUGUGGGCGUAGUGAAAGCGACUUUUUUUUUGUAAAAACGAGCAGUUUGGGGCGGCAUAGAAUCGUUGAUUCUAGGUCUGACCUUGAGCAGUUGCGCUGGGACCCGAAAGAUGGUGAACUAUGCCGGAGUAGGGCGAAGCCAGAGGAAACUCUGGUGGAGGCUCGUAGCGGUGCUGACGUGCAAAUCGCUCGUCGAACUUGGGUAUAGGGGCGAAAGACUAAUCGAACCAUCUAGUAGCUGGUUUCCUCCGAAGUUUCUCUCAGGAUAGCAGGCCGACACUUUUUUUUACGUUGUUUUGUGCGGUAAAGCGAAUGAUUAGCGUAAUCGGGGGCGUUUAGCCUUUGGACGAUUCUCAAACUUUAAAUGCGCAAGGGUACCGGUGCUUUGUUGAGCGGUACCGUUAAAAACGUCGGCCUUGUGGGCCACUUUUGGUAAGCAGAACUGGCGAUACGGGAUGAACCGUAAGCAUGGUUAAGGUGCCAAACUGCCCGCUUAUAGAUCCCACAAAAGGUGUUGAUUCAUCGAGACAGCAGGACGGUGGCCAUGGAAGUCGGAAUCCGCUAAGGAGUGUGUAACAACUCACCUGCCGAAUGAAUCAGCCCUGAAAAUGGAUGGCGCUUAAGCGGGCGACCGACACCAUGCCGUCUGUACAAGAUGAAAUGUUUACAGAUGAGUAGGAGGACGUGGCGGUCGUGUCGAAGCAUGCGUGCGAACGCGUGUGGAACGGCCGCUAGUGCAGAUCUUGGUGGUAGUAGCAAAUAUUCAAGCGAGAUCCUUGAAGGGCGAAGCGGGGAAGGGUUCCACGCAAACAUUGAUUGGGCGUGGGUGAGUCGUUCCUAAGCCGAGUGGCAAUUGCUAAGUAGCGGCGAAAGGGAAGCAGGUUGACAUUCCUGCACACGGAUGUGGAGGCGGUGACGCUUUAAUGAGGGCGAAGACGCUGGCGAUGGCGCUGGGCAGAGAUUUCUUUUCUGUUUGACCGCUGAAGCGCGCGGUGUGGAAUCCGCUUGUCGGGAGAAACACGCGCGUUCGGGCAGAGCGCCGGGGCUAUUCCGGCGUCCAGCUCGCCAUCGACGGCCCUUGAAAAUUUGCCUGCUGGAAUGGUUUUUUUUAAAAUUCUAUGAAGAUCCACGCCGUGGCGUACCGAUAACCGCAUCAGGUCCCCAAGGUGAACAGCCUCUGCUCUAUAUGAAUAAUGCAGGUAAGGGAAGUCGGCAAAUUGGACCCGUAACUUUGGGAAAAGGGUUGGCUCUAGUGCUGCGUGGGAGUAGUUGUCGGGUGUGGGCGUUUUUGGACUUGCUGAGCGAGCGCGAGGAGGCAUCUUCGGGUGUUUCUUUGUGUUCAAUUGGCGAGUCUGGAUCCGCCUCGCUCGACGACGCCCACAGCAUGCAGCAGACUAGAACUGCAACGGGCAAAGGGAAUCCGACUGUUUAAUUAAAACAAAGCAUUGCGAGGGCCGUGGCCGGUGAUGACGCAAUG
Molecule: ribosomal RNA, 2057 nt
Filed under: Prionitis simplex
Lineage: Eukaryota; Rhodophyta; Florideophyceae; Halymeniales; Halymeniaceae
Description: eukaryotic LSU rRNA
Rfam family: Eukaryotic large subunit ribosomal RNA
Source: RNAcentral